Molecule: ribosomal RNA, 497 nt
Filed under: uncultured bacterium
Lineage: Bacteria
Description: partial 16S ribosomal RNA
Rfam family: Bacterial small subunit ribosomal RNA
Source: RNAcentral
GAUGAACGCUGGCGGCGUGCCUAAUACAUGCAAGUCGAGCGAACGGACGAGAAGCUUGCUGCUCUGAUGUUAGCGGCGGACGGGUGAGUAACACGUGGAUAACCUACCUAUAAGACUGGGAUAACUUCGGGAAACCGGAGCUAAUACCGGAUAAUAUGUUGAACCGCAUGGUUCAAAAGUGAAAGACGGUCUUGCUGUCACUUAUAGAUGGAUCCGCGCCGCGUUAGCUAGUUGGUAAGGUAACGGCUUACCAAGGCAACGAUGCGUAGCCGACCUGAGAGGGCGAUUCGGCACCCCUGGACUUGGACACGGGCCAGACUCCUUCGGGAAGCAGCAGGUGGGAAUUCUUCCGAAAUGGGCGAAACCCUGACGAACAAACGCGCGUUGGGUGAUGAGGCCCUUCGGUUCGAAAACCCUUGUUUUUGGGAAGAAACAUCGCUGUAAGUAACUGGGCCUAGCUGACGGUACCCUAAUAAGAAGCCCCGGCUUACUUCGUU